GGGGAUUCCUCUGAGACACUGACCAGGUCAUGUUGGGGUCAGAUUGGGGCGUGUCUAGUGGCUACAUAUGACCAGGUCAUAGUUGGGGUCAGAAUGGGGCGUGUCUAGUAGCUACAUAUGACCAGGUCAUGUUGGGGUCAGAAUGGGGCGUGUCUAGUGGCUACAUAUGACCAGGUCAUGUUGGGGUCAGAUUGGGGCGUGUCUAGUAGCUACAUAUGACCAGGUCAUGUUGGGGUCAGAAUGGGGCGUGUCUAGUAGCUACAUAUGACCAGGUCAUGUUGGGGUCAGAAUGGGGUGUGUCUAGUAGCUA
Oncorhynchus tshawytscha (Chinook salmon) is the source of this 310-nucleotide long non-coding RNA. The record is from Ensembl. Lineage: Eukaryota; Metazoa; Chordata; Actinopteri; Salmoniformes; Salmonidae.